CUGUGCUGUGUUUGGCCAAGUUGGACUGCAGGGGCCGUCGCCUUCUUCCCACCUUGGCCUCCUUUUCCCAACGCCCUUAGCAGCCUUGAGUCCUGGUCGUCUGCAGAGGCCUCAGCAGGACGAGGAGGAGGAGGAGCCGCUGGGUGUCAGACCAAUGCUGUGAGGGGUGUAAGGAAGAGAGCCACCGCCCGUCCCUCAGCUACCAGACCUAGAAAGCAGGAUGGCACAGGAGUGAGGCGGAGGGGCUGAGCACCGUUGACCAGACGUGGGACACUGGUGGUUCGCGGGUCACUGAGGUAGGUGUACAGCUGGGCUGGUG
This 319-nucleotide long non-coding RNA is filed under the name Neogale vison (American mink). RNAcentral describes it as "Neovison vison (American mink) lncRNA (ENSNVIG00000003263.1)". Lineage: Eukaryota; Metazoa; Chordata; Mammalia; Carnivora; Mustelidae. The record is from RNAcentral.